RNAcentral lists this ribosomal RNA (447 nucleotides) under uncultured bacterium. Its description in RNAcentral is "partial 16S ribosomal RNA". It matches the Rfam family "Bacterial small subunit ribosomal RNA", at positions 29 to 523 of the family's 1533-position model. The record is from RNAcentral.
AACGAACGCUGGCGGCAGGCCUAACACAUGCAAGUCGAACGCCCCGCAAGGGGAGUGGCAGACGGGUGAGUAACGCGUGGGAACCUACCCAGUGGUACGGAACAACCCAGGGAAACUUGGGCUAAUACCGUAUACGCCCCCAGGGGGAAAGAUUUAUCGCCAUUGGACGGGCCCGCGUUGGAUUAGCUAGUUGGUGGGGUAAUGGCCUACCAAGGCAACGAUCCAUAGCUGGGCUGAGAGGAUGAUCAGACACACUGGGACUGGUACACGGCCCUGUGUGGUACUGGCAGCGGCAGCGCGGUAUCGUGGACAAUGGUCGCAAGGCUGAUCCAGCCAUGCCGCGGGAGUGAAGAAGGCUCUUGGGGUAUAGAGCCCUUUCGGCGCGCGCGAUGAAGGUGUUAGGCGUAGAACAAGCGCUGGCUAUGAGCGUGCCAGAAGCCGCGGUAA